GACGAACGCGGCGGCGUGCCUAAUACAUGCAAGUUGAGCGCUGAAGGUUGGUACUUGUACCAACUGGAUGAGCAGCGAACGGGUGAGUAACGCGUGGGGAAUCUGCCUUUGAGCGGGGGACAACAUUUGGAAACGAAUGCUAAUACCGCAUAAAAACUUUAAACACAAGUUUUAAGUUUGAAAGAUGCAAUUGCAUCACUCAAAGAUGAUCCCGCGUUGUAUUAGCUAGUUGGUGAGGUAAAGGCUCACCAAGGCGAUGAUACAUAGCCGACCUGAGAGGGUGAUCGGCCACAUUGGGACUGAGACACGGCCCAAACUCCUACGGGAGGCAGCAGUAGGGAAUCUUCGGCAAUGGACGAAAGUCUGACCGAGCAACGCCGCGUGAGUGAAGAAGGUUUUCGGAUCGUAAAACUCUGUUGGUAGAGAAGAACGUUGGUGAGAGUGGAAAGCUCAUCAAGUGACGUAACUA
Molecule: ribosomal RNA, 469 nt
Filed under: Lactococcus lactis
Lineage: Bacteria; Bacillati; Bacillota; Bacilli; Lactobacillales; Streptococcaceae
Description: bacterial SSU rRNA
Rfam family: Bacterial small subunit ribosomal RNA
Source: RNAcentral